Molecule: long non-coding RNA, 421 nt
Organism: Elaeis guineensis (African oil palm)
Lineage: Eukaryota; Viridiplantae; Streptophyta; Magnoliopsida; Arecales; Arecaceae
Source: RefSeq, a predicted model, not a curated record
CAAUGCCCCUCGUCACUGUUCUAUCACGUGAGAAUCCAAUGGAUGCUUUUCUUAUCUCUCUCCCUUUCUUUUUAUGUCUAUCUCAUGCCCUCCUUCCUUUCUCUCUCUCAUGUAGCUCUCUACUUCCUCUGUCUUGUUUUCCCUAGACCUAAGCUUAAGUAUUUUGUUUGUGGCAAAGAGAGGAGCCAUGAGAUUGGGAGAGGAAGGCAAGUUGCGAGACCCAUCUUCAAUAGGAUAUCGUCACUGAGGGUAAUAUCCUAUGAAUAUGCAGCGAAUGCCAUGUCGCUCGCUCAUGAUUUCAGGUUGAGGGUGUGAUAAUUAUUUUGUGUCUUUUUUCCCUUGACUUAUUCUUGACUCAUUAUCUCGAGUCGUUCUUGAUUUAUUUAUGCCUCGUCAUCCAUGAAGGUGUUAAGGCUUGAUA